GGAAACGUGGCCGAGUGGUUGAAGGCGCACGCCUGGAAAGUGUGUAUACUGGAAACAGUAUCGAGGGUUCGAAUCCCUCCGUUUCCG
Molecule: transfer RNA, 87 nt
Filed under: Beta vulgaris subsp. vulgaris (sugar beet)
Lineage: Eukaryota; Viridiplantae; Streptophyta; Magnoliopsida; Caryophyllales; Amaranthaceae
Rfam family: tRNA
About the family: Transfer RNA (tRNA) molecules are approximately 80 nucleotides in length. Their secondary structure includes four short double-helical elements and three loops (D, anti-codon, and T loops).
Source: Rfam by way of RNAcentral